UUUGACCUCAAAUCAGGUAGGACUACCCGCUGAACUUAAGCAUAUCAAUAAGCGGAGGAAAAGAAACUAACAAGGAUUCCCCUAGUAACUGCGAGUGAAGCGGGAAAAGCUCAAAUUUGAAAUCUGGCAGUCUUUUUUUUCUUCUUUGGCUGUCCGAGUUGUAAUCUAGAGAAGUGCUUACCUGCACUGGACC
RNAcentral lists this ribosomal RNA (193 nucleotides) under Amanita submembranacea. RNAcentral describes it as "partial 28S ribosomal RNA". It matches the Rfam family "Eukaryotic large subunit ribosomal RNA", at positions 1 to 177 of the family's 3401-position model. The record is from RNAcentral. Lineage: Eukaryota; Fungi; Basidiomycota; Agaricomycetes; Agaricales; Amanitaceae. RNAcentral also lists the same sequence under 1 other name.